This 390-nucleotide ribosomal RNA is filed under the name Triticum aestivum (bread wheat). Its description in RNAcentral is "partial small subunit ribosomal RNA". The record is from RNAcentral. Lineage: Eukaryota; Viridiplantae; Streptophyta; Magnoliopsida; Poales; Poaceae.
AUGCUUGAUGAGAAUGAAGUCUCUGGUGAAAUACCAAGGCACAUAGGCAACAUGACCAAUCUCAUGACACUCACCUUGUCAGACAAUCACUUAGUUGGUCAUAUCCCUUUUGAAGUAGGCCACCUAAAGCACUUGGUUGUGUUGGAUUUGUCUAUUAAUAAUCUUUCCGGCUCAAUCCCACCCAAUGUAGGUAACUUGACCAAACUCACUACAUUGCUCCUUUUCCAGAACCAACUGUCUGACCAAAUUCCAAUAGAACUUUGUCGUUUGGCCAACUUGAAUGACUUGCGCCUUAGCUUCAACAAGCUGGUAGGUUCCAUCCCAAAUAGCUUAUCAAAUUUGACAAAACUCACUCUCUUGUACCUUGGCAUGAACCAACUUUCUGGGUAA